AGGGAGAUUUAGAAAUCUUUAUAUCCCAAAAAUUAAUCCCACAAUUUUUUAUAGCAUAAAGAUUAAUUUAUGGGUUCAAUUAAAGUCUUAAAUUUGGUGGCACUUUUACUUAUUGUCCUUAUGUUGGCUUCUAAUGUUUCUUGUUCAAGGAAAUUGCUUGAUGUAGUUCAAGCACCAAGUUAUGGACCAACAAUGCUGAUGCACCCUUUGAUGGGAACUACUCUUAUGGACCAACCAUGCAGCCAGCAGCGGCUGCAGCCAGCUGAUGCUCCCAUGUCUUUUUUUUUAAUCAUUUUAUAUGGCAACAGCCUUGAAGAAAAUUUCAUAAUCUGAUAUUAUUAGUGUGAAAGAGGAGAAAGAAAGAAGCUAUGCAAAGCAACCCCUUCACUUAUUAACUUACUAUUAUUAUUAUUAUUAUUAUUAUUAUUAAUAUUAUUGUACUUUAUUUCAAAAUGGCAAUAAAUGGUCAAAGUUGUAGGGAUCAUAAGUCAUUAAUAAUUCAUAGUAUUGAACCACUAGUAGAACAUGCAUGGGAAAGUGUUUUCUAAUUUCUACAUAUAAAUUUGAAAUUAGGGUUUUGAAAUCAUUUUCCCUUAUGUGUCCACACUUAACUAACUACUAAAACGUUUAUAUUUUCAACUUUUUUUUUUAUAGAAAAAAUAAUUUCUUUUCACUCCCUUUAUAUUUGUCCUUAAAGAAAAUGAAUUUUGGAAUUACGAUCUUUGAAUAAAAUAUUUAAAUUGUAAAGUCAAAUGAAGUGGUCAAAGCAAUAAUUAUAUUAUCAUGUGAACUAAAACCCUACACCUUUACUUAGCUUUCUUUCACCCUCAAUUCUUUCAAAUGACCUAACGCGGUUUAGUACUCAUAUAAAUGGAGCUUAAAAGAGCUCAAGCAAAUGCACUCUCAAAAUAAUAUAUUAUAUCUUCCAAACAUAUUUCAUAUUUUUCUAAUCUACCACAAAAAGAGGGAAAAAAAAAAAAAACCGAACUUCUAAAAUGGCUUCAAUUAUUUGGAAACUCUUCUUGAUCAUCACACUCAUCUUAGCUUCAAGUAAUGUUCAUGCAAGGAUAUCUCAUUCCAUCUACAUUCAUGGUAUGAAGUCUGCAGAGAUAAAUAAUGUUAAUACAAUUGCUCAACCACCAAGUACCCAAAAUGAUGAAGAUGGUAUGAAGAACAAUACAGCAACAAACAAUACAAUUAUUGCUGCUCCACCACCAGCAAAAAAUGAAGAUGGUGUUUGGAAUGGGAACUUUUGAUGCUCAAUAAUAUCUGUAUACAAUAUUCUUAUUAUCAAUUUGAUUUACUUAAUGUAACAAAUUCACUUAUAGCUUAUUAAUCAUUCUUUGGCUUUAAAAGAAAAAAGAAAUUAGGAUAUGGAGUAUAUCUGUUUCAUAUAUUUUCAUAAUUACGUGAGAAAUCAUUAUUUUAAUUUAUUGUAUUGUCACUAGUUCGAAUUUACUACUUCAUUUUUCGUAGUAAGAAGAAGAAG
Cucumis melo (muskmelon) is the source of this 1489-nucleotide long non-coding RNA. RefSeq lists it as uncharacterized. The record is from RefSeq and is a predicted model, not a curated record. Lineage: Eukaryota; Viridiplantae; Streptophyta; Magnoliopsida; Cucurbitales; Cucurbitaceae. The transcript has 4 exons.